This 694-nucleotide ribosomal RNA is filed under the name uncultured bacterium. RNAcentral's name for it is "bacterial SSU rRNA". It matches the Rfam family "Bacterial small subunit ribosomal RNA", at positions 38 to 702 of the family's 1533-position model. The record is from RNAcentral.
AGGGAGCGGCUGCUAACAUGCAGUCGUACGGACAGAACAGGGAAGCACUUGCGGAGUGGAACUAGGAAAGAAGGGGGAUGGGUGAGUAACGCGUGGACAACCUACCUUGAAAGGGAAAUAACCUCGAGAAAUCGAAGCUAAUACCCCAUAAUAACCUUGCUUCGCAUGAAGUAAGGAGGAAAGGCGGUCUUUGUGCUGUCGAUACAAGAUGGGUUCGCGUCUGAUUAGCUAGUUUGGUGAGGUAAAGGCUCACCAAGGCGACGAUCAGUAGCCGGCCUGAGAGGGUGAACGGCCACAUUGGGACUGAGACACGGCCCAAACUCCUACGGGAGGCAGCAGUGGGGAAUCUUCCGCAAUGGGCGAAAGCCUGACGGAGCAAUGCCGCGUGAGUGAAGAAGGCCUUCGGGUUGUAAAACUCUGUCCUAGACGAAGAGAGAGUAUUGUAGUAACUGACAAUACUAGGACGGUAGACUAGGAGGAAGCCCCGGCUAACUAUGUGCCAGCAGCCGCGGUAAAACAUAGGGGGCAAGCGUUGUCCGGAAUCACUGGGCGUAAAGGGCGCGCAGGCGGUAAAUUAAGUCAGGUGUGAAAGUUCGGGGCUCAACCCCGUGAUUGCACCUGAUACUGAUAAACUAGAGUGUUGGAGAGGUAAGUGGAAUUCCUAGUGUAGCGGUGGAAUGCGUAGAUAUUAGGA